Molecule: ribosomal RNA, 1325 nt
Filed under: metagenome
Description: bacterial LSU rRNA
Rfam family: Bacterial large subunit ribosomal RNA
Source: RNAcentral
AGUGGAUGGGGAGCAACCUAGUUGUGAGUGUGGAAAGGUAGUGCAAGAAAAGCUGUCAGAAUGAUGAGAAUUGAGUCCCGGUACCCGAAACCGACACAGGUAGGCAAGUAGAGAAUACUAAGGGGCGCGAGGUAACUCUCUCCAAGGAACUCGGCAAAAUGACCCCGUAACUUAGGGAGAAGGGGUGCCACCGAGAGGUGGUCGCAGUGAAGAGGCCCAGGCGACUGUUUAGCAAAAACAUAGGUCUCUGCAAACUCGAAAGAGGAAGUAUAGGGGCUGACGCCUGCCCAGUGCCGGAAGGUUAAAGAAGUUGGUCAGGAGAAAUCUGAAGCUGGCGACUGAAGCCCCGGUGAACGGCGGCCGUAACUAUAACGGUCCUAAGGUAGCGAAAUUCCUUGUCGGGUAAGUUCCGACCCGCACGAAAGGCGUAACGAUCUGGGCGCUGUCUCGGAGAGAGGCUCGGCAAAAUAGGAUUGUCUGUGAAGAUACGGACUACCUGCAGUUGGACAGAAAGACCCUAUGAAGCUUUACUGUAGCUUGAAAUUGUGUUCGGGCUUCCUGUGCGCAGGAUAGGUGGGAGGCGAGGAAGGUCUGCUUGUGGGCAGAUUGGAGCCAACCGUGAGAUACCACUCUCAGGAGGCUAGAAUUCUAACUUAAUUAAGGACAGUUUCAGGUGGGCAGUUUGACUGGGGCGGUCGCCUCCAAAAAGGUAACGGAGGCGUACAAAGGUUCCCUCACACUGGUUGGAAAUCAGUGGCAGAGUGCAAAGGCAGAAGGGAGCUUGACUGCGAGACGGACAAGUCGAGCAGGGUGGAAACACGGUCUUAGUGAUCCGACGGUGCUGUGUGGAAGGGCCGUCGCUCAACGGAUAAAAGUUACUCUAAGGAUAACAGGCUGAUCUCCCCCAAGAGUUCACAUCGACGGGGAGGUUUGGCACCUCGAUGUCGGCUCAUCGCAACCUGGGGCGGAAGUACGUCCCAAGGGUUGGGCUGUUCGCCCAUUAAAGCGGUACGUGAGCUGGGUUCAGGACGUCGUGAGACAGUUCGGUCCAUAUCCGAUGUAGGCGUGAGAAUAUUGAGAGGAGCCUUCCUUAGUACGAGAGGACCGGGAAGGACGCACCGCUGGUGUACCUGUUAUGAUGCCAAUCGUAAACGCAGGGUAGCCAAGUGCGGAGAGGAUAACCGCUGAAAGCAUCUAAGUGGGAAGCCCACCUCAAGAUGAGUAUUCUGGUGUAAGGUCACGGGGAGACGACCCGUAGAUAGGCACGAGGUGGAAGUGCAGAGAUGUAUGAAGCCGAAGUGUACUAAUAGACCGUCGGCUUGAUC